Molecule: ribosomal RNA, 1448 nt
Filed under: uncultured organism
Description: 16S ribosomal RNA
Rfam family: Bacterial small subunit ribosomal RNA
Source: RNAcentral
CAGGCUUAACACAUGCAAGUCGAGGGGCAGCAUGGUCUUAGCUUGCUAAGGCCGAUGGCGACCGGCGCACGGGUGAGUAACGCGUAUCCAACCUGCCUUACACUCUUGGACAGCCUUCUGAAAGGGAGAUUAAUACAAGAUGUUAUCAUGAGUAAGCAUUUUCGCAUGAUUAAAGGUUUACCGGUGUAAGAUGGGGAUGCGUUCCAUUAGAUAGUAGGCGGGGUAACGGCCCACCUAGUCUUCGAUGGAUAGGGGUUCUGAGAGGAAGGUCCCCCACAUUGGAACUGAGACACGGUCCAAACUCCUACGGGAGGCAGCAGUGAGGAAUAUUGGUCAAUGGACGAGAGUCUGAACCAGCCAAGUAGCGUGAAGGAUGAAGGUUCUAUGGAUUGUAAACUUCUUUUAUACGGGAAUAAACGAAUCCACGCGUGGAUUUUUGCAUGUACCGUAUGAAUAAGGAUCGGCUAACUCCGUGCCAGCAGCCGCGGUAAUACGGAGGAUCCGAGCGUUAUCCGGAUUUAUUGGGUUUAAAGGGAGCGUAGAUGGGUUGUUAAGUCAGUUGUGAAAGUUUGCGGCUCAACCGUAAAAUUGCAAUUGAUACUGGCAGUCUUGAGUACAGUUGAGGUAGGCGGAAUUCGUGGUGUAGCGGUGAAAUGCUUAGAUAUCACGAAGAACUCCGAUUGCGAAGGCAGCUUACUAACCUGUAACUGACAUUGAUGCUCGAAAGUGUGAGUAUCAAACAGGAUUAGAUACCCUGGUAGUCCACACGGUAAACGAUGAAUACUCGCUGUAGGCGAUAUACAGUCUACGGCCAAGCGAAAGCAUUAAGUAUUCCACCUGGGGAGUACGCCGGCAACGGUGAAACUCAAAGGAAUUGACGGGGGCCCGCACAAGCGGAGGAACAUGUGGUUUAAUUCGAUGAUACGCGAGGAACCUUACCCGGGCUUAAAUUGCAACCGAAUAUGGCGGAAACGCUAUAGCUAGCAAUAGCGGUUGUGAAGGUGCUGCAUGGUUGUCGUCAGCUCGUGCCGUGAGGUGUCGGCUUAAGUGCCAUAACGAGCGCAACCCUUGCCGAUAGUUACUAACAGGUCAUGCUGAGGACUCUGUCGGGACUGCCAUCGUAAGAUGUGAGGAAGGUGGGGAUGACGUCAAAUCAGCACGGCCCUUACGUCCGGGGCUACACACGUGUUACAAUGGGGGGUACAGAGGGCUGCUACCACGCAAGUGGAUGCCAAUCCCAAAAACCUCUCUCAGUUCGGAUUGAAGUCUGCAACCCGACCUCAUGAAGCUGGAUUCGCUAGUAAUCGCGCAUCAGCCACGGCGCGGUGAAUACGUUCCCGGGCCUUGUACACACCGCCCGUCAAGCCAUGGGAGCCGGGGGUACCUGAAGUGCGUAACCGCAAGGAGCGCCCUAGGGUAAAACUGGUGACUGGGGCUAAGUCAUAACA